Molecule: ribosomal RNA, 235 nt
Filed under: uncultured bacterium
Lineage: Bacteria
Description: partial 16S ribosomal RNA
Rfam family: Bacterial small subunit ribosomal RNA
Source: RNAcentral
CGGGUAGGAGUAACGCGUGGGGAACCUGCCUCAAAGAGGGGGACAACAGUUGGAAACGACUGCUAAUACCGCAUAAGCCCACGGCUCGGCAUCGAGCAGAGGGAAAAGGAGCAAUCCGCUUUGAGAUGGCCUCGCGUCCGAUUAGCUAGUUGGUGAGGUAACGGCCCACCAAGGCGACGAUCGGUAGCCGGACUGAGAGGUUGAACGGCCACAUUGGGACUGAGACACGGCCCAG